GGCACACCCUCUCUGCUUCCUCCUGGGGUUUCAAAAACCUAUAUUCAUUGGUUGAGCCAAAGGGUACAGGCUAAGUUUUCCCUCUACAGUAAACUGCAUCCAACUGGGAGAGGCCAUGGACUGUCAUGAAAGCUACUGGUGGCACAAUGAAGGUGAAAGCUGAGGUGGGACCACGAAGCCUUCCCAGAUUCCAAAUGAGCUCCUCCUCUGUUCUAGCCCAACCUGUUUCCUCUUAGCUACAACCUCUCCAGCAUCUGACUGAGCUGCCUUUCUUUUUGUGAGUUAUAACGAGAAAUGAAAAUUUAUUUUGCAUGAGUGAGGAAGAACGGGACGCUACCUUCAGCAAAAGGCCAACAAGCCUCUUUCUGCCUUAGGGGCUGAGAAAAUUGGUGAGAUUAAUCUCCACAAUGCCUCAGCUCCAAGUUUCCCACAUGGCUGACCACUGAAAAUGCCUCAAGCCACAGAAGAAGGAAAGAGAAGACAAAGCCACCAGUUGUCUUGGUAACUGAAAGUUAUGGAAGGAAGAAGAAAGACAAAAUUUGAGAGCUCUGAAGACCUGAGAAGCAGCCUAGUAUGGCUGAAGAACAAUGAAGAAACCUAGGGCAAUGCUGGCACACAGAGGGUCAGUCUCUGGCCAAACAGUGGCUGAACACAACACAGCUGAUGGCAGAGCUGGCAAAAGAUUCACCACGUCACACAAGAGUGUGAUUCUACACAAGAUCCAUGAGAUUACUGGCCACAACUGUGUAUGACUCAGACUUUGUUCCAAGCUCCGAGACAUCAGGAGCCCCCUCCCCUAGUGAGAUCCAGAUUCUUUCCGGACCAGAAAUAAUAGUGACCUGAAAUCAACACAAUCUAGACAAAAGGCAUUUUUAUGAAGCAGUUGCAAAGAUCCCACACAUUUCUCCAGGAGAAAAGGGUUAAAAGUAGCUAGGGCUGGUUGUUGUCAAAUGGUCAAAGGGAAAGACUGGCAGUUUGGAGGGCUUUGCGUCACAAGGUAUUGCCUAGAGGAGGCACUACAGAAUGGUCCAGUUUAUUAUCGUAUUCUGCAGAAGGUCCAGGACUCGCAGUAGGGAAGGCCUAGGUUCGGAUUCUGCCUCUGAUGCUGGUAGUGUCACUGCGAGCAAGGUGCUUUCACUUUUCUGAAACUCAACCUCCUCAUCAUUAAAUGGUGCCAAUUAAUAUCUGAAGUGCCUACCUCAUAGGGUUGUUGGGAGCCUUAGAUGAGAUAAUGUCAGUAAGUGCUUUGCAAGCUUGAAAAUGCCAUAUAAAUAUCUGGUAGUAUUAUUAUUAUUACCCCUUUUAACUUCAGCCAUAUUAGUUUUGGCUCACUGUUCUAACCUGUACAGACACAUUUGGAUCUUGACUCAUCUAUCCUUUUGAACUAUCCAUCCCAACUUUGUCAUCUGCAGACUAAGUGGGCCACCUGUUUUCAUCCAAGGAAUUACCAAAAAUAUUGACUAGAACAGAGCCCACGCCAGUCCCUGAGGUGCACCACUAGAGACUCCUCUCCAAGUUAACAUCUAUUCACCACUGAGUACAUAAGUCAUUAACUGUGGUCAUCUACUACUUCUUAAUCCACCUGACUGUAUUUUAAUCAUACAAUCCAUCUUGAUCUCAAGGAUGUAUGGAGAGACUUUGUCAAAUGCUUAGCUGAAAUCUAGGUGUUCCCCAACCUGCCAGUAGAAAAAACCCUGUCAAAAAUGAUUGUUCAU
RNAcentral lists this long non-coding RNA (1715 nucleotides) under Phascolarctos cinereus (koala). Its description in RNAcentral is "lncRNA (ENSPCIG00000031217.1)". The record is from RNAcentral. Lineage: Eukaryota; Metazoa; Chordata; Mammalia; Diprotodontia; Phascolarctidae.